RNAcentral lists this ribosomal RNA (460 nucleotides) under uncultured bacterium. RNAcentral's name for it is "partial 16S ribosomal RNA". It matches the Rfam family "Bacterial small subunit ribosomal RNA", at positions 338 to 795 of the family's 1533-position model. The record is from RNAcentral.
CCUACGGGUGGCAGCAGUGAGGAAUAUUGGUCAAUGGCCGCGAGUCUGAACCAGCCACGCCGCGUGCGGGAAGAAUGUCCUAUGGAUUGUAAACCUCUUUUGUAAGGGAGCAAAGUCACCCACGUGUGUGGGUUGGAGAGUACCUGACGAAAAAGGAUCGGCUAACUACGUGCCAGCAGCCGCGGUAAUACGGAGGAUCCGAUCGUUAUCCGGAUUUAUUGGGUUUAAAGGGUGCGUAUGCGGGUUGAUAAGUCAGAGGUGAAAUGCGGGGGCUCAACCCCGAAACGGCGUUUAAAACUGUUGAACUAGAGUAGAGGAGAGGUAGGCGGAAGGCGUGGUGUAGCGGUGAAAUGCAUAGAGAGCACGCAGAACACCGAUUGCGAAGGCAGCUUACCGGCCUCCAACUGACGCUGAGGCACGAAAGCGUGGGUAGCGAACAGGAUUAGAUACCCGUGUAGUC